This 565-nucleotide ribosomal RNA is filed under the name uncultured archaeon. RNAcentral's name for it is "bacterial SSU rRNA". It matches the Rfam family "Archaeal small subunit ribosomal RNA", at positions 301 to 871 of the family's 1478-position model. The record is from RNAcentral.
UUCUGAGACUCGAAUCCAGCCCCUACGGGCGCAGCAGGCGCGUAAACUUUACAAUGCGGGUAACCGUGAUAGGGGAACUCCGAGUGCCCGUAAAUUCGGCCUGUUAAUCUGUGUAAACAACAGGUUGAGAAAGGGCCGGGCAAGACCGGUGCCAGCCGCCGCGGUAAUACCGGCGGCUCGAGUGGUGGCCACUAUUACUGGGCUUAAAGCGUCCGUAGCUGGGUUAUUAAGUCUCUGGGGAAAUCCACCGGCUCAACCGAUGGGCGUCUCAGGGAUACUGGUAGCCUAGGGACCGGGAGAGGUGAGAGGUACUCCAGGGGUAGGAGUGAAAUCCUGUAAUCCUUGGGGGACCACCUGUGGCGAAGGCGUCUCGCCAGAACGGCUCUGACAGUGAGGGGCGAAAGCUAGGGUCUCGAACCGGAUUAGAUACCCGGGUAGUCCUAGCUGUAAACGAUGUCCGCUAGGUGUGGCGCAGGCUACGAGCCUGCGCUGUGCCGUAGGGAAGCCGAGAAGCGGACCGCCUGGGAAGUACGUCUGCAAGGAUGAAACUCAAAUGAAGUGACGG